This 24-nucleotide non-coding RNA is filed under the name Cricetulus griseus (Chinese hamster). The record is from RNAcentral. Lineage: Eukaryota; Metazoa; Chordata; Mammalia; Rodentia; Cricetidae.
UGUAAAGAAUGUCAUUAUCUGGGG